GCACGAAAGCGUGGGGAUCAAACAGGAUUAUAUACCCUGGUAGUCCACGCCGUAAACGCAUUCGGAUACUCGACAUUUGCGAUAUACUGUAAGUGUCUGAGCGAAAGCAUUAAGUAUCCCACCUGGGUAGUACGACCGCAACGGUUGAGACUCUAAGGACAUUGACGGGGGUCCGCACAAGCGGUGGAGCAUGUGCGUCUUAAUUCGAUGAUACGCGAGGAACCUUACCUGGGCUAGAAUGCGAUCUUGACCGUGGGUGAAAGCUCAUUUUGUAGCAAUACACAGAUCGUAGGGUGCUGCAUGGCUGUCGUCAGCUCAGUAGCCGUGAGGUGUUGGGUUAAGUCCCGCAACGAGCGCAACCCGUAUCAAUAAUUGCCAUCAGGUUACUGCUGGGAACUCUAGUGAAAUCUGCCGUCGUAAGACGUGAGGAAGGAGGGGAU
RNAcentral lists this ribosomal RNA (440 nucleotides) under uncultured Bacteroidales bacterium. RNAcentral describes it as "bacterial SSU rRNA". It matches the Rfam family "Bacterial small subunit ribosomal RNA", at positions 751 to 1180 of the family's 1533-position model. The record is from RNAcentral. Lineage: Bacteria; Pseudomonadati; Bacteroidota; Bacteroidia; Bacteroidales.